Megachile rotundata (alfalfa leafcutting bee) is the source of this 418-nucleotide long non-coding RNA. Lineage: Eukaryota; Metazoa; Arthropoda; Insecta; Hymenoptera; Megachilidae. The record is from RefSeq and is a predicted model, not a curated record.
AAAAAAAAAAGAAAAAAAAAUUAGCUGUCAUUUAUCUUGUUCUUUCUUUUUAGAAAUAUUGUAAAUAUUGCAAAUGCUGCAUCUACGAUGAUACGUAAUUUUUAUGAUGACGCUACAAGUACAUAUUUUUACGACGAAUAUCGAUAUGUUGUAACGUUUUUAUUAUAUGGAUAGACGCAUAAAAUAGGCGUUGAACGGUAUCGAAGAAAAUUUUUUAAAAACACAGUACCGUUCAAACUUGGUUGGAAUUUCGUGAGGAUAACAAAUACGGGAUGGCCACCAGCGGUAAUUGCCAAGUUUUACCCAUACUACUUCUCCGUACAAAGUCGUUGCUGUUGUUGCCUAACGAAAAUAGUUACCUAAACAUUCCAAAUGAAACGACGUCGGACACGUGUCGCAACAGAUAAGACUUCCUCCU